UAACACGUGGAUAACCUACCUAUAAGACUGGGAUAACUUCGGGAAACCGGAGCUAAUACCGGAUAAUAUUUUGAACCGCAUGGUUCAAAAGUGAAAGACGGUCUUGCUGUCACUUAUAGAUGGAUCAGCGCUGCAUUAGCUAGUUGGUAAGGUAACGGCUUACCAAGGCAACGAUGCAUAGCCGACCUGAGAGGGUGAUCGGCCACACUGGAACUGAGACACGGUCCAG
This 229-nucleotide ribosomal RNA is filed under the name uncultured Staphylococcus sp. RNAcentral describes it as "partial 16S ribosomal RNA". It matches the Rfam family "Bacterial small subunit ribosomal RNA", at positions 111 to 334 of the family's 1533-position model. The record is from RNAcentral. Lineage: Bacteria; Bacillati; Bacillota; Bacilli; Caryophanales; Staphylococcaceae.